UUGUGGAGGAGGACGCCGAAGGUGGGGCUAAUGACUGGGGUGAAGUCGUAACAAGGUAGCCGUACCGGAAGGUGCGGCUGGAUCACCUCCUAACAGGGAGACAACAAAAUGUUUAAUAUUAUUAUUUUGUCACCUUAGGUCGAUCGGUAUCUCACGUUUUUAAUUUAUUGAGAAUUUCAUUUCCUAAGUUUUUCUAGGUCACACCCAUUAUUUUUCCUGGGCCAUUAGCUCAGGUGGUUAGAGCGCACCCCUGAUAAGGGUGAGGUCCCUGGUUCAAGUCCAGGAUGGCCCAUAUCUCUAUGUUGGGGGUAUAGCUCAGUUGGUAGAGCGCCUGCUUUGCAAGCAGGAUGUCAGCGGUUCGAGUCCGCUUACCUCCACUGAUCACCACCUCUUCCAUAAUCGGUAGAAAGGAAAUUUUUUGAGUUGUGAUCAAAUUCUGAAAGAAUCGAAUCUAGCUUCCUAAUGAAAUCAUUAAGAUGCUGGACUCAUUGAAUUAAUUUCAUUGUUUUCAGAGAACCUUGACAACUGCAUAGAUUAUUUUUAAAGACAAUAAGCAUCUUUAAUGAUGCAGAUUUAUUAUUUGUGCAAAUGCAUUAAUAACAAUUCUAUUAAGCUGAUGCUUCAAUAUUUGAAGUUAUUGGUCAAGCUACAA
Molecule: unclassified non-coding RNA, 652 nt
Filed under: uncultured Prochlorococcus sp.
Lineage: Bacteria; Bacillati; Cyanobacteriota; Cyanophyceae; Synechococcales; Prochlorococcaceae
Description: partial 16S-23S ribosomal RNA intergenic spacer; may also contain 16S ribosomal RNA and 23S ribosomal RNA
Rfam family: tRNA (bases 305-377)
Source: RNAcentral